UACGUAGGGGGCGAGCGUUGUCCGGAUUUAUUGGGCGUAAAGAGCUCGUAGGCGGUUUGGCAAGUCGGGUGUGAAAACUCCGGGCUCAACUCGGAGACGCCACUCGAUACUGCCAUGACUCGAGUCCGGUAGGGGAGUGCGGAAUUCCUGGUGUAGCGGUGAAAUGCGCAGAUAUCAGGAGGAACACCAAUGGCGAAGGCAGCUCGCUGGGACGUUACUGACGCUGAGACGCGAAAGCGUGGGGAGCAAACAGGAUUAGAUACCCUUGUAGU
RNAcentral lists this ribosomal RNA (272 nucleotides) under uncultured bacterium. RNAcentral's name for it is "partial 16S ribosomal RNA". It matches the Rfam family "Bacterial small subunit ribosomal RNA", at positions 524 to 794 of the family's 1533-position model. The record is from RNAcentral.